AGAGUUUGAUCAUGGCUCAGAACGAACGCUGGCGGCGUGCUUAACACAUGCAAGUCGAGUGCGCGUCUGUAGCAAUACAGAUGGCGCACGGCGCACGGGUGCGUAACACGUGGGCAAUCUGCCCUUCGAUGGGGAAUAUCUUCGGGAAACCGAAGCGAAUUCCGCAUAACAUUCCUUGGACUUCGGUUCGAGGACUCAAAGCCGUAAGGCGUCGAAGGAGGAGCCCGCGCACGAUUAGCUAGUUGGUAGGGUAACGGCCUACCAAGGCUUCGAUCGUUAGCUGGUCUGAGAGGAUGGCCAGCCACACUGGAACUGAGACACGGUCCAGACUCCUACGGGAGGCAGCAGUGGGGAAUCUUGCACAAUGGGCGAAAGCCUGAUGCAGCGACGCCGCGUGGGGGAUGAAGCAUCUCGGUGUGUAAACCCCUUUCGACCCGGAAGAAUGCCUCGCAAGAGGACUGACGGUACGGGUAUAAGAAGCCCCGGCUAACUACGUGCCAGCAGCCGCGGUAAGACGUAGGGGGCCAGCGUUGUUCGGAAUUACUGGGUGUAAAGGGUUCGUAGGCGGUGUGGCAAGUUGGGAGUGAAAUCUCUGGGCUCAACCCAGAGGCUGCUUCCAAAACUGCUGUGCUUGAGUGUGGGAGAGGCGCGUGGAAUUGCAGGUGUAGCGGUGAAAUGCGUAGAUAUCUGCAGGAACACCCGUGGCGAAAGCGGCGCGCUGGACCACUACUGACGCUGAGGAACGAAAGCUAGGGGAGCAAACAGGAUUAGAUACCCUAGUAGUCC
This 786-nucleotide ribosomal RNA is filed under the name uncultured bacterium. RNAcentral's name for it is "bacterial SSU rRNA". It matches the Rfam family "Bacterial small subunit ribosomal RNA", at positions 8 to 796 of the family's 1533-position model. The record is from RNAcentral.